AGAAUCCUAUAAACAGGGAAAUGAUGGAACGUUGCAUCGUGAAAUAUUCUGCAGCAGAUAGGAAGAAGGACCUGGAGUUACCGGUUGACCUUGAGCCGUUUCCACAUGGCAGUGUCCGGUGAGGAAAACAAGAUGCAAGAAUGUCAUGGAACCUCAGUUUUGAAAAACAAAUGAGGAAAAAGGAGAUCAUUGCAAAUCUCUGGAAAACCAGAUCCAGAACUGGAGAGAAAAGAGGAAGAAACUGAGGCUCAGGGAGAGAAGAAAGUAGAAGCCAAGACUUCUCAAGGCUCACACUGCAGACGCAGCCGAGCCGCUCCUCGGUUCAGCAGUGACCAGAAGCUCCGGCUCUGGCGAAGGCACCGGAGGGCAGAAGGUUGCAGAUGGGCACCCUAGAACGGGGUCCAGGGAUGGGGCCAUUGAGGACAGAAGUCACGGCCCUUUGGAAGCCAAGGCCUUCUUCCUGCUGGUGAGGAGGCACCCAGAGAACCUGUGAGUGCGGCUCC
Diceros bicornis minor is the source of this 503-nucleotide long non-coding RNA. RefSeq lists it as uncharacterized. NCBI's taxonomy places the organism in Eukaryota, Metazoa, Chordata, Mammalia, Perissodactyla, Rhinocerotidae. The transcript is spliced from 3 exons. The record is from RefSeq and is a predicted model, not a curated record.